CCUACGGGAGGCAGCAGUGAGGAAUAUUGGUCAAUGGGCGUAAGCCUGAACCAGCCAAGUCGCGUGAGGGAUGAAGGUUCUAUGGAUCGUAAACCUCUUUUAUAAGGGAAUAAAGUGUGGGACGUGUCCUGUUUUGUAUGUACCUUAUGAAUAAGGAUCGGCUAACUCCGUGUCAGCAGCCGCGGUAAUACGGAGGAUCCGAGCGUUAUCCGGAUUUAAUGGGUUUAAAGGGUGCGUAGGCGGCCUUUUAAGUCGGCGGUGAAAGUCUGUGGCUCAACCAUAGAAUUGCCGUUGAAACUGGGAGGCUGGAGUAUGUAUGAGGCAGGCGGAAUGCGUGGUGUAGCGGUGAAAUGCUUAGAUA
Molecule: ribosomal RNA, 361 nt
Filed under: uncultured bacterium
Lineage: Bacteria
Description: partial 16S ribosomal RNA
Rfam family: Bacterial small subunit ribosomal RNA
Source: RNAcentral